This 449-nucleotide ribosomal RNA is filed under the name uncultured bacterium. RNAcentral describes it as "partial 16S ribosomal RNA". It matches the Rfam family "Bacterial small subunit ribosomal RNA", at positions 28 to 523 of the family's 1533-position model. The record is from RNAcentral.
GACGAACGCUGGCGGCGUGCUUAACACAUGCAAGUCGAACGCAUCCUUCGGGGUGAGUGGCAGACGGGUGAGUAACGCGUGGGAACGUGCCCUUCAGUUCGGGAUAACCCAGGGAAACUUGGGCUAAUACCGGAUACGUGCGAGAGCAGAAAGAUUUAUCGCUGAAGGAUCGGCCCGCGUCUGAUUAGAUAGUUGGUGGGGCAAUGGCCCACCAAGGCGACGAUCAGUAGCUGGUCUGAGAGGAUGAUCAGCCACAUUGGGACUGAGACACGGCCCAAACUCCUACGGGAUGCAGCAGUGGGGAAUAUUGGACAAUGGGCGCAAGCCUGAUCCAGCCAUGCCGCGUGAGUGAUGAAGGCCUUAGGGUUGUAAAGCUCUUUCGUCCGGGACGAUAAUGACGGUACCGGAAGAAGAAGCCCCGGCUAACUUCGUGCCAGCCGCCGCGGUAA